GGGGGCCGAAGUAUUGCCUCAGUAGCGGCGAGUGAAGCGGCAAGAGCUCAGAUUUGAAAUCGUGCUUUGCGGCACGAGUUGUAGAUUGCAGGUUGGAGUCUGUGUGGAAGGCGGUGUCCAAGUCCCUUGGAACAGGGCGCCCAGGAGGGUGAGAGCCCCGUGGGAUGCCGGCGGAAGCAGUGAGGCCCUUCUGACGAGUCGAGUUGUUUGGGAAU
Molecule: ribosomal RNA, 215 nt
Filed under: Pichia kudriavzevii
Lineage: Eukaryota; Fungi; Ascomycota; Pichiomycetes; Pichiales; Pichiaceae
Description: partial 26S ribosomal RNA
Rfam family: Eukaryotic large subunit ribosomal RNA
Source: RNAcentral